AGUAACACGUGGAUAACCUACCUAUAAGACUGGGAUAACUUCGAGAAACCGGAGCUAAUACCGGAUAANAUUUUGAACCGCAUGGUUCAAAAGUGAAAGACGGUCUUGCUGUCACUUAUAGAUGGAUCCGCGCUGCAUUAGCUAGUUGGUAAGGUAACGGCUUACCAAGGCAACGAUGCAUAGCCGACCUGAGAGGGUGAUCGGCCACACUGGAACUGAGACACGGUCCAGACUCCUACGGGAGGCAGCAGCG
RNAcentral lists this ribosomal RNA (253 nucleotides) under uncultured Staphylococcus sp. RNAcentral's name for it is "partial 16S ribosomal RNA". It matches the Rfam family "Bacterial small subunit ribosomal RNA", at positions 109 to 356 of the family's 1533-position model. The record is from RNAcentral. Lineage: Bacteria; Bacillati; Bacillota; Bacilli; Caryophanales; Staphylococcaceae.